This 1343-nucleotide ribosomal RNA is filed under the name uncultured bacterium. Its description in RNAcentral is "16S ribosomal RNA". It matches the Rfam family "Bacterial small subunit ribosomal RNA", at positions 28 to 1378 of the family's 1533-position model. The record is from RNAcentral.
GACGAACGCUGUCGGCGUGCUUAACACAUGCAAGUCGAACGGAAAGGCCCUGCUUUUGUGGGGUGCUCGAGUGGCGAACGGGUGAGUAACACGUGAGUAACCUGCCCUUGACUUUGGGAUAACUUCAGGAAACUGGGGCUAAUACCGGAUAGGAGCUCCUGCUGCAUGGUGGGGGUUGGAAAGUUUCGGCGGUUGGGGAUGGACUCGCGGCUUAUCAGCUUGUUGGUGGGGUAGUGGCUUACCAAGGCUUUGACGGGUAGCCGGCCUGAGAGGGUGACCAGCCACAUUGGGACUGAGAUACGGCCCAGACUCCUACGGGAGGCAGCAGUGGGGAAUAUUGCACAAUGGGCGGAAGCCUGAUGCAGCAACGCCGCGUGCGGGAUGACGGCCUUCGGGUUGUAAACCGCUUUCGCCUGUGACGAAGCGUGAGUGACGGUAAUGGGUAAAGAAGCACCGGCUAACUACGUGCCAGCAGCCGCGGUGAUACGUAGGGUGCGAGCGUUGUCCGGAUUUAUUGGGCGUAAAGGGCUCGUAGGUGGUUGAUCGCGUCGGAAGUGUAAUCUUGGGGCUUAACCCUGAGCGUGCUUUCGAUACGGGUUGACUUGAGGAAGGUAGGGGAGAAUGGAAUUCCUGGUGGAGCGGUGGAAUGCGCAGAUAUCAGGAGGAACACCAGUGGCGAAGGCGGUUCUCUGGGCCUUUCCUGACGCUGAGGAGCGAAAGCGUGGGGAGCGAACAGGCUUAGAUACCCUGGUAGUCCACGCUGUAAACGGUGGGUACUAGGUGUGGGGUCCAUUCCACGGGUUCCGUGCCGUAGCUAACGCUUUAAGUACCCCGCCUGGGGAGUACGGCCGCAAGGCUAAAACUCAAAGGAAUUGACGGGGCCCCGCACAAGCGGCGGAGCAUGCGGAUUAAUUCGAUGCAACGCGUAGAACCUUACCUGGGUUUGACAUGGAUCGGGAGUGCUCAGAGAUGGGUGUGCCUCUUUUGGGGUCGGUUCACAGGUGGUGCAUGGCUGUCGUCAGCUCGUGUCGUGAGAUGUUGGGUUAAGUCCCGCAACGAGCGCAACCCUUGUUCACUGUUGCCAGCACGUUAUGGUGGGGACUCAGUGGAGACCGCCGGGGUCAACUCGGAGGAAGGUGGGGAUGACGUCAAGUCAUCAUGCCCCUUAUGUCCAGGGCUUCACGCAUGCUACAAUGGCUGGUACAGAGAGUGGCGAGCCUGUGAGGGUGAGCGAAUCUCGGAAAGCCGGUCUCAGUUCGGAUUGGGGUCUGCAACUCGACCUCAUGAAGUCGGAGUCGCUAGUAAUCGCAGAUCAGCAACGCUGCGGUGAAUACGUUCCCGGG